This 436-nucleotide ribosomal RNA is filed under the name uncultured bacterium. Its description in RNAcentral is "partial 16S ribosomal RNA". It matches the Rfam family "Bacterial small subunit ribosomal RNA", at positions 28 to 507 of the family's 1533-position model. The record is from RNAcentral.
GAUGAACGCUGGCGGUCUGCUUAACACAUGCAAGUCGAACGGGCUCUUUCGGGAUCUAGUGGCGGCCGGGGGAGUAACGCGUUAGAAUCUGCCCGUUGGAGGGGGAUAACGGUUGGAAACGACCGCUAAUACCCCAUGUGCCUAGAGGUAAAAAGUAAUUCGCCCAGGGAGGGGGUGGCGUCGCAUCAGCUAGUUGGGGGGGUAAGGGCCCACCAAGGCGACGAUCCGGAGCUGGUCUGAGAGGAGGACCCGCCACGCUGCGACUGAGACACGGCGACGACUACUACAGGAAGCAGCAGGGAGGAAUUCUCCGCAAUGGGAGCCAGCCUGACGGAGCGAGGCGGCGUGAAGGAAGGCGGUCUGUGGAUUGUAAACCUCCUUUGGCAGCGAAGCAGUACUGACGGUACCUGGCAAAGCAGCCCCGGCUAACUCCGUG